ACUAGAAGCCGAUGACGGACGUUACUAACGACGAUAUGCUUUGGGUAGCUGUAAGUAAGCGUUGAUCCAGAGAUUUCCGAAUGGGGGAACCCAGCAUGAGUUAUGUCAUGUUAUCGACAUGUGAAUUUAUAGCAUGUCAGAAGGCAGACCCGGAGAACUGAAACAUCUUAGUACCCGGAGGAAGAGAAAGAAAAAUCGAUUCCCUGAGUAGCGGCGAGCGAAACGGGAAGAGCCCAAACCAACAA
This 245-nucleotide ribosomal RNA is filed under the name Staphylococcus epidermidis. RNAcentral describes it as "partial 23S ribosomal RNA". It matches the Rfam family "Bacterial large subunit ribosomal RNA", at positions 38 to 280 of the family's 2925-position model. Lineage: Bacteria; Bacillati; Bacillota; Bacilli; Caryophanales; Staphylococcaceae. The record is from RNAcentral.